UGGCGGCCUUAGCGCGGUGGUCCCACCUGACCCCAUGACGAACUCAGAAGUGAAACGCCGUAGCGCCGAUGGUAGUGUGGGGUCUCCCCAUGCGAGAGUAGGGAACUGCCA
RNAcentral lists this ribosomal RNA (111 nucleotides) under Escherichia coli. The record is from RNAcentral. Lineage: Bacteria; Pseudomonadati; Pseudomonadota; Gammaproteobacteria; Enterobacterales; Enterobacteriaceae.